Molecule: long non-coding RNA, 584 nt
Organism: Spinacia oleracea (spinach)
Lineage: Eukaryota; Viridiplantae; Streptophyta; Magnoliopsida; Caryophyllales; Amaranthaceae
Exons: 2
Source: RefSeq, a predicted model, not a curated record
GAGAGAUAGGAUUAGAGAAUCUUGAAUUUUACGUGCACUUAUUCUUAUAUUAGCUUGUUCAGUAUGGUUGUGCCUUUGCGAAUGCCUUAGUCUAUAAAUAUGCAAUCGAUUUUGCUUCAUGUAUAUCAAGUAAUACAAUCUCACCUUCAAUUCCGUGUUUUCUUAUUAUUAUAUAUCUCAAAGUUAAGGUUAUUAAGAAAAAGGAAAGGAUAUGGCGGACAUUAAUGUAACACCUGAAGUAGUGGAGGAUGUGGAAAUUUAUUUGGAAGCAAAGGCCAAGGAAUAUGAGGCUAGUCCCAAGGCCAACAACUCCGUAGAAUAUAAAUUGACGACCGAUAUCUAGAACUUUAGCAAAGGCCGCGUGCACAAAGUGGAGACUCAUUUUUGGAAUGGACGCACUUUGACUAACUUCCCUGCACUCCCAAUUAACACUGGUGUUGCCAUGCGCCAGGCCGGACCCCUUCCUAAUGGUGUCAAGUGGGGAAUCGUCUGUAAACACCUACUUUUGUCCCCAUUCCCGAAAGGGAAAGUUCGAUGAUGAAAACAUAAAUCUCCAAUUGACAACGCAUCUCCUAUAAAAUAAA